This 216-nucleotide ribosomal RNA is filed under the name Glomeromycotina sp. RNAcentral describes it as "partial small subunit ribosomal RNA". The stretch from base 40 to 216 matches the Rfam family "Eukaryotic small subunit ribosomal RNA", at positions 686 to 864 of the family's 1831-position model. Lineage: Eukaryota; Fungi; Glomeromycota. The record is from RNAcentral.
GGGUCAGUAGGUUGGUCGUGCCACCGGUACGUACUGGUCUCACUGAUUCCUCCUUCCUGUGGAACCGUAAUGCCAUUAAUUUGGUGUUGCGGGGAAACAGGACUGUUACUUUGAAAAAAUUAGAGUGUUUAAAGCAAGCUAACGCUUGAAUACAUUAGCAUGGAAUAAUGAAAUAGGACGAUCGAUCCUAUUUUGUUGGUUUCUAGGAUUGACGUA